CGGAGGCAGCAGUGAGGAAUAUUGGACAAUGGGCGAAAGCCUGAUCCAGCAAUGCCGCGUGAGUGAUGAAGGCCUUAGGGUUGUAAAGCUCUUUUACCCGGGAUGAUAAUGACAGUACCGGGAGAAUAAGCCCCGGCUAACUCCGUGCCAGCAGCCGCGGUAAUACGGAGGGGGCUAGCGUUGUUCGGAAUUACUGGGCGUAAAGCGCACGUAGGCGGCUUUGUAAGUUAGAGGUGAAAGCCCGGAGCUCAACUCCGGAAUUGCCUUUAAGACUGCAUCGCUUGAACGUCGGAGAGGUAUGUGGAAUUCCGAGUGUAGAGGUGAAAUUCGUAGAUAUUCGGAAGAACACCAGUGGCGAAGGCGACAUACUGGACGACUGUUGACGCUGAGGUGCGAAAGCGUGGGGAGCAAACAGGAUUAGAUACCCCAGUAC
This 433-nucleotide ribosomal RNA is filed under the name uncultured bacterium. RNAcentral describes it as "bacterial SSU rRNA". It matches the Rfam family "Bacterial small subunit ribosomal RNA", at positions 343 to 793 of the family's 1533-position model. The record is from RNAcentral.